This 486-nucleotide ribosomal RNA is filed under the name uncultured bacterium. RNAcentral's name for it is "partial 16S ribosomal RNA". It matches the Rfam family "Bacterial small subunit ribosomal RNA", at positions 30 to 507 of the family's 1533-position model. The record is from RNAcentral.
AUUGAACGCUGGCGGCAUGCCUUACACAUGCAAGUCGAACGGCAGCACGGGUGCUUGCACCUGGUGGCGAGUGGCGAACGGGUGAGUAAUACAUCGGAACAUGUCCUGUAGUGGGGGAUAGCCCGGCGAAAGCCGGAUUAAUACCGCAUACGAUCUACGGAUGAAAGCGGGGGACCUUCGGGCCUCGCGCUAUAGGGUUGGCUGAUGGCUGAUUAGCUAGUUGGUGGGGUAAAGGCCUACCAAGGCGACGAUCAGUAGCUGGUCUGAGAGGACGACCAGCCACACUGGGACUGAGACACGGCCCAGACUCCUACGGGAGGCAGCAGUGGGGAAUUUUGGACAAUGGGCGAAAGCCUGAUCCAGCAAUGCCGCGUGUGUGAAGAAGGCCUUCGGGUUGUAAAGCACUUUUGUCCGGAAAGAAAUCCUUGGCCCUAAUACGGUCGGGGGAUGACGGUACCGGAAGAAUAAGCACCGGCUAACUACGUG